Molecule: ribosomal RNA, 277 nt
Filed under: uncultured Bacillus sp.
Lineage: Bacteria; Bacillati; Bacillota; Bacilli; Caryophanales; Bacillaceae
Description: partial 16S ribosomal RNA
Rfam family: Bacterial small subunit ribosomal RNA
Source: RNAcentral
UACGUUAGUUGCUAACGCGUGAAGGCGAGCACUCUAGACGAACUGCCGUUAGACAAAACGGGAGGAAGGUGGGAUGACGUCAAAUCAUCAUGCCCUUAUGUUCUGGGCUACACACGUGCUACAAUGGCCGGUACAGACGGACGCAAAGCCGCGAGGUGGAGCAAAUCCUAAAAAGCCGGUCUCAGUUCGGAUUGCAGGCUGCAAUUCGCCUGCAUGAAGUCGGAAUCGCUAGUAAUCGCAGGUCAGCAUACUGCGGUCGAAUACGUUCCCGGGCCUU